UGCGGUUGUAAGUUCAAUCGGAGAUGUUGGAAGCUCAAUUGGUCUUCAACGAUACAGGUAUUCAUUCACUUUAAUUAUGAAGGAGAUAUAUCUAUUCCGUGCUGCUGGACAUGAAACAUUACUUUUGCAGAAACUUAGAUUUGGCGAUGAAUUCUGCCGUUCUUGUGUUUCAUGUGCUUGGUGUCUUCAAGUGAAAGAUUGAUCAUGUUGUACGACCACGGUUUCUAUGUAUAAGUUAUUGAUAUUAAUUGUUACUGCGUUGUGAGGUGAAUUAAUCGAUAAAUUGAUAUAAAUAUAUAUACAUGAGAUUGAUUGUUGAGUGGGUUUAUUCCGACUUAUGAGGAGGUAAUUACUGGCUCAUGAGGCGGUAACUUGGAAGGAAAUGAGUUUAUUAGGUAUAAUAAAUCAUAUAUUAACGAUUCAACAUCAAAGUGUCGCCGAGAUCGGAAGGUUGAAUAUAUUCUUAUAAAUAUAUGGAUGGCUUGUGCAAAAAAAAAUUUGGAUGCAUCUUUUGUGGAAGAAAGAACUGGGAAUCCAGUGACUGAAGAUAGUAUCGGCGGUGGACUGUGAAAGAACGAAUUGGGGAUCCUGUGGCUCAAGAUAGGAUUGGUAUACCCAGAAGCUACGUGUAUGUUGACCUAGCCUUAUGUCUUUCCAAGCUGGCAGGCUUAGCUUGUGUUUCAUUCUAUAAACCUGUUGCAAAAAUCGCAUCCUUGUUAGUAGAAAUUCUUAGAUGUACUUGAGCACCAGGUGCAUUUUUAUGUAUCAAUUUGUUUUGUAUGAAUAGAGAGUUGUAAUAGAUGAAGAACUAGUGCGUGAAAUUAAUCAAGAACGGAACUUGUUAAUGUAAUUUGUUAUUGUGCCUAACUUGAGUUUCUUUCUACUUAAUAUGCUAAAUUUCUGGAAACCAAAUAGAGGUUUCAUUUUCUGCAAUUCUAGUAAAAAAAUCAGGCCAAAUGACCAUUUC
RNAcentral lists this long non-coding RNA (967 nucleotides) under Coffea arabica (coffee). RNAcentral's name for it is "long non-coding RNA (CARA_LNC000442)". The record is from RNAcentral. Lineage: Eukaryota; Viridiplantae; Streptophyta; Magnoliopsida; Gentianales; Rubiaceae.